GAUGAACGCUGGCGGCGUGCCUAAUACAUGCAAGUCGAGCGAAGCGGGGACGGGUGAGUAACACGUGGAUAACCUCCUAUAAGACGGGGAUAACUUCGGGAAACCGGAGCUAAACCGGAAACUUAUAGAUGGAUCUGAGCUGCAUUAGCUAGUUGGGAAGGUAACGGCUUACCAAGGCAACGAGGCCUAGCCGACCUGAGAGGGUGAUCAGCCACACUGGGACUGAGACACGGUCCAGACUCCUACGGGAGGCAGCAGUGGGGAAUCUUCCGCAAUGGGCGAAAGCCUGACGGAGCAACGCCGCGUGAGUGAUGAAGGUCUUCGGAUCGUAAAACUCUGUUAUUAGGGAGGCGGUACCUAAACAGGAAGCCACGGCUAACUCCGUGCCAGCAGCCGCGGUAAUUC
This 405-nucleotide ribosomal RNA is filed under the name uncultured bacterium. RNAcentral's name for it is "partial 16S ribosomal RNA". It matches the Rfam family "Bacterial small subunit ribosomal RNA", at positions 28 to 526 of the family's 1533-position model. The record is from RNAcentral.